UCCCUGAUGGCUCAGAGGGUAAAGAACCUGCCUGAAAUUCAGGAGACUCAGGUUCAAUCCCUGGGUUGGGAA
Ovis aries (sheep) is the source of this 72-nucleotide transfer RNA. It matches the Rfam family "tRNA". Rfam says of the family: Transfer RNA (tRNA) molecules are approximately 80 nucleotides in length. Their secondary structure includes four short double-helical elements and three loops (D, anti-codon, and T loops). Further hydrogen bonds mediate the characteristic L-shaped molecular structure. tRNAs have two regions of fundamental functional importance: the anti-codon, which is responsible for specific mRNA codon recognition, and the 3' end, to which the tRNAs corresponding amino acid is attached (by aminoacyl-tRNA synthetases). tRNAs cope with the degeneracy of the genetic code in two manners: having more than one tRNA (with a specific anti-codon) for a particular amino acid; and 'wobble' base-pairing, i.e. permitting non-standard base-pairing at the 3rd anti-codon position. NCBI's taxonomy places the organism in Eukaryota, Metazoa, Chordata, Mammalia, Artiodactyla, Bovidae. The record is from Rfam.